UCUGUUUUGUGGUGGUUCGUUGGCAGUGCUGAAGUCUCUCUCUGGUCCCGCCGACAUGGACUCUUUGGUGGAGACGAUGAUGCCGCUGUUAAUGUCGCGUUUGGCCAAAGAAAUGGGCACCUCGUCCUCGGCGGCGCCCUCUACAGCCGCCAAGAAGAAGGCGGUGAAGAAGACGGUCUCCACGCCCGUGAGGAGGACGGUCUCCGCGGCGUCCAAACCCAGAGUGAGCCAACUUUCUGCUUUAAGGAAAUGGUGAAACUGAAACUACAGCCCAUGUUUUAGUCUUUGUUUUUGUGUUGUGUUUCCAGGCGGUGAAACCUUCCACGAUGGUGAGACUGGGCUCCAUCAUCCCGCCUCUGUCUCACGACGACGUGGUGGCGUUCGCAGAGAAAUUCGGGAAAACCAAAUCGGUUUUGCUGUUUCGCCAAAAACACCAGGCUGUGGUGUGUUUUGAAAAAGAAGAAGACGCCAAAAAACUGAGAACUGCGAAAGACCUGAAAAUCAAAGAUCAUCUGGUCACGAUCGUCAAGUAUAAGGCAAGAAACGACAACUUUACGUCAAAUUUAAAACAAACAUUUCUCUUUUGCCAAAGCUUCUUAUUACAUUUACUAAGCGAUAUUGACAUAAAUAUUUAAACUUUUCAGGAGGCAGUUUCUACGACUCAAAGAAAAUCUCCCGUAUCUGCGGCGAGACGACCCUUGAAGUCGGCCGUUAAAACGACCGCAACUACGAGCAAAGCCAGUGCAUCCAACACUGCUCCAGUGAAGGCCACUACGUUGAAAGCAACAACCGUCAAAACACCGGCCACCAGAACCACACAAUCAAAAACUACUUCAGUCAAAUCUGGCGUUACCAGGAAGGUCCCUACUGCCUCUACUUUAACAGCAGCUGCUGCUACUUCAUCUACUACUGCUGCUGCUAUUUCUACCAUUGCUACGAUUAUCACUCCUGCGACGGCUGGAGUGGACGUAACUAGAGCGAGGUAUGCCACGGCAGGUCAGAUCCGAUCCGUCCAAUACUCGAGCCUGAAGGAAGUCGUGAUCCAAGACAAUCCGAUACCAAGUUUGUCGAAGGAAGUCACGAAUGCACCCAAAGAAGCCGACAAGGAAGCGAUCAAAAUCAUAGACGUCGACAUGGAACCGAUAGAAAUCAGCAGCGGGACGGACUGCGAAGACGAGGGUGAGCAGAGGGUGUUGAAAAAUUCGGCUGCGGAAGCGCCAAGCAACAAAAUGGAUGCUGAUAAAGUAGUCACUGAAGACAAAACUCCAGAAGAAGUGGUUGGAAGUACGAACAAUACGGCAGGAAAAGAUAAUAUGAAAAAUCUGAAGAAGUUGGAGAGAAGAUUUCAAGCCAAGAAAAGGUUGAAAGCGCCAAAAACGUUCAACGAAAUUUGCAAGAAGAUGAUUCGAAUGUGACGAAAGAAAAGAAAAAAGAGUCUUCCCCGUUGACCGACGUCUCUACGGAACAAACCGAUUCAGGAGAAAAGACAGUCGUUGAAGGGUCUGAGAAAUUGGAGGUGGAGUUGAGCGCGCAGCAGCCGAAGGAAGAGUGCGCAGUUGCUAUAAAAGAAGAGAAUUCAACAGAGAAACUAGCAGAGUUGGCUGAAGUGACGCCACAGCGACACAAGGAGAGACGGUUGUAGAGGAGCAGGAGGUAAAGAUGGAAGGUUCAACCACGGAAGCUGAAAGAGUCCAAGAAACGUCAAAGGCAGAAGGUAAGAUUUUCCUAAGUCUGUGUAAAUAUGUAGAUUUUCUCUGGAAAAAUCCCACAAACCGAAGCGUAUUGUCUGAGAUGCAGUGACCACAAAGCCUGCGGAAGCGACGAAGGCCAAAGCGACAAAGGCCGAUGCGACGCCAAACACAACCCAGAAAAUCCCUGUCCCACAGAGUCCGAGUGCAGAAGCAGCGGGGCCGUCUCUGACCGCGGGCGAGACUCUUCUGGAAAGACGACUCACCUAUAACAACUUCAGUGAGAAAAACCUCUUUCAUGAGUCUAUCAUUCAACUAAUCAUUUUCUGAAAAUUGUUGUCUGUCUUCGCAGAACCAAGUUGUCUUUCUCUGUCCUACAUCUUCGGACCGAAAGUAAGUCUUGGCUUCAAACAGAUCCUUCACUUCUGUAAAUAGAUGGAGGUUUAUUGAUUCUGGGGAAAAGGAGGAGGAGACAUCUUAAGAGGUUAAAUUUAAAAUUCAAACAAUGUUAAUGUGCUGUAACAGUGUGUAAUAACUUGUACCUAUGGGUUACACAAUGGAAUAAUAUGUAUUGUGGUUUGGAGUUAAACACACAAUGUAAAAUUACAUAAAAUCCCAGUUUUUUACUUUACUACAUUGCGGAGUUUACAUGUUCACCCCGUGUCUGUGUAGGUUUCCUCCGGGUACUCUGGUUUCCCCUACCACAAAAACAUUCAGUAGGUUCCCCCAGUGGCCAGGACUCCCCUGAAAAAAGAGAUUCUUAAUCUCAGUGGGACUUGGUUAAAUGAACAAAUAAAACGUUGAAUGUCUUGAUCCCUACAUCUGCAGUUUAUGGAGACAAUA
Molecule: long non-coding RNA, 2531 nt
Organism: Neogobius melanostomus (round goby)
Lineage: Eukaryota; Metazoa; Chordata; Actinopteri; Gobiiformes; Gobiidae
Source: Ensembl